UGGGGAAUUUUCCGCAAUGGGCGCAAGCCUGACGGAGCAACGCCGCGUGGGGGAAGAAAGUCCUUGGAUUGUAAACCCCUUUUCUCAGGGAAGAAGCUCUGACGGUACCUGAGGAAUCAGCCUCGGCUAACUCCGUGCCAGCAGCCGCGGUAAUACGGAGGAGGCAAGCGUUAUCCGGAAUUAUUGGGCGUAAAGCGUCCGUAGGCGGCGGGUCAAGUCGGCGGUCAAAAGCGGUGGCUCAACCACCGGUCGGCCGUGGAAACUGAAACGCUAGAGUACGGUAGGGGUAGAGGGAAUUCCCGGUGUAGCGGUGAAAUGCGUAGAGAUCGGGAAGAACACCGGUGGCGAAAGCGCUCUACUGGGCCGUAACUGACGCUGAGGGACGAAAGCUAGGGGAGCGAAUGGGAUUAGAUACCCCCGUAGUCC
Molecule: ribosomal RNA, 426 nt
Filed under: uncultured prokaryote
Description: bacterial SSU rRNA
Rfam family: Bacterial small subunit ribosomal RNA
Source: RNAcentral